RNAcentral lists this ribosomal RNA (468 nucleotides) under uncultured bacterium. RNAcentral describes it as "partial 16S ribosomal RNA". It matches the Rfam family "Bacterial small subunit ribosomal RNA", at positions 28 to 507 of the family's 1533-position model. The record is from RNAcentral.
GACGAACGCUGGCGGCGUGCUUAAUACAUGCAAGUCGAACGGAAAGGCCCUGCUUUUGCGGGGCGCUCGAGUGGCGAACGGGUGUGUAAAACGCGAGUAAACUGCCCCUGACUGUGGGAUAACUUCAGGAAACAGGGGAUAAAACCGGGGAGGAGCUCCUGCUGCACGGGGGGGGAUGGAAAGUUUCGGCGGUUGGGGAUGGACUCGAGGCUUAUCAGCUUGAUGGGGGAGUAGGGGCUUACAAAGGCUGUGACGGGUAGCCGGCCUGGGAGGGUGGCCGGCCACCUGGGUACUGAGAUAGGGAGCAGACUCCUACGGGACGCAGCAGUGGGGAAUAUUACAGAAUGGGCGGAAGCCUGAUGCAGCAGUGCCGCGAGCGGGAUACCGUCCUUCGGGUUGUAAACAAAUUUCGCCUGUGCUGAGCAGUUAGUGACGGUAAUGGGUAAGGAAGCCACGGCUAACUACGUG